CCCUACGGGAGGCAGCAGUAGGGAAUCUUCCACAAUGGGCGAAAGCCUGAUGGAGCAACGCCGCGUGGGUGAAGAAGGUCUUCGGAUCGUAAAACCCUGUUGUUAGAGAAGAAAGUGCGUGAGAGUAACUGUUCACGUUUCGACGGUAUCUAACCAGAAAGCCACGGCUAACUACGUGCCAGCAGCCGCGGUAAUACGUAGGUGGCAAGCGUUAUCCGGAUUUAUUGGGCGUAAAGGGAACGCAGGCGGUCUUUUAAGUCUGAUGUGAAAGCCUUCGGCUUAACCGGACGAGUGCAUUGGUAACG
This 305-nucleotide ribosomal RNA is filed under the name uncultured bacterium. RNAcentral describes it as "bacterial SSU rRNA". It matches the Rfam family "Bacterial small subunit ribosomal RNA", at positions 337 to 634 of the family's 1533-position model. The record is from RNAcentral.